This is a long non-coding RNA of Acipenser ruthenus (sterlet), 4844 nucleotides long. RefSeq lists it as uncharacterized. The transcript has 8 exons. The record is from RefSeq and is a predicted model, not a curated record. NCBI's taxonomy places the organism in Eukaryota, Metazoa, Chordata, Actinopteri, Acipenseriformes, Acipenseridae.
UUAAGGAAACAUUCAAACUAUUUUGGAAUAACUGGAGAAAAGAAAAGAGAUGUUUUUCUAAUUUGAGACAGUGGUGGGAUGUGGGGAAAAUCCAAAUUAAAAUAUUCUGUCAGCAAUUCACCCAAAACAUCACUAGUGAGUUGAAUGCAGUGGCCAGCCAGCUAGAGAAUGAGAUUUUAGAGAUUGAGAGAGAGCUGGGCGGUCAGAGCACGGAAGGGGCUUAUCGCAGCUUGAAAGAGAGGAAACAGCGCCUGGGCAGCCUGCUGGAGGAGAAGGUCAACGGGUCCCUGAAAAGAACAAGAUUUGUGGAAGAGACAUGGCCGCCCCACGACCUUCUUCUUCAGCUUGGAGAAGAAAGAAGCUGAAAGAAAACAAAUGCUUACACUGAGGCUGCCCGGGGGGAGAGAGGUCUCCAGCCCUGCGGAGCUUCGUCAGGCCGCGGUGACAUUUUAUUCAGAACUGUACCAGGCUGAGGGCUGCGACCAGCAGGAGACGGAGCGGCUGUUGGAAGGUCUCCCUCACCUGGGUGAGGAGGAAAGCCGCGGCCUGGACACCGCCAUCACAUUGGAGGAGCUCACAACCGCCGUCACACAGCUCUCCAAUGGAACAGCACCUGGGCUGGAUGGGCUGCCCGCUGAAUUCUAUAAACAUUUCUGGAGUUGCAUUGGAAAUGAUUUAUACCAGGUGCUGAAUGAAUGUGUGGCGGAGGGAGAGCUGCCUCUGAGCUGCCGCAGGGCAGUACUGACUUUACUACCCAAAAAAGGAGACCUCUGUGAGCUGAAGAACUGGCGUCCUGUGUCGUUGCUGUGCUGCGAUUAUAAGGUUUUUUCCAAAGCUUGGUAGCAUCCAUGCUGUGGCACAGAUUAAUGUGUGUCUGGACCCUCCCCCAGGGCUGCUGGAGCAGGUCCAGAAAAAACUAGUUAAUUUUUUUUGGGAUGGAAACCACUGGCUGAAACCAGCAGUACUGUACCUGCCCCGAGACAAAGGAGGGCAGGGGCUGAUUGACAUCCCCUCCCGGGUCGCUGCGUUCAGAUUGCAGGCAGCCCAGAGCCUGCUGUACACCCCUGAGCUGAGCUGGAGAGGCAUGGCUUUGUCCCUCCUCAAGAGAGUUGGGGGGCUUGGUUUAGACAGACAGCUGUUUUUAAUGACCCCCAGUAAAGUUAUUAGAACUGAGCUGGAAAGCUUUUACAGGAACAUGUUAAAUGCCUGGGGGGUAAUUAAGAUUUAAAGGACAGAUGAAAGCCUCUGUACAUGUUUUAUUUUUGAGGAGCCUUUGUUUUUUAAUAGCAUUUUUAACAUUGAUGCUUUUAAUUCUAAACAGCUUUUUUUAGUGUUUUUACAGGCCGGAGUCACCACCCUGGGUCACCUGGUAGACUAGACUGAGUGGCGAUGGAAGAGCGGGGCCGAGUUGACUGCAGUGUUGGGCCUGCGCUCGGUGCGCUUCAUAGAGAGGGUGUUGGGAGAGAUCCGAGCCUCCCUGAACCCAGCAGCCUCUCAGAGAGGCAGGCCCCUGAGUGUGAGCCUGAUUUCCCCUCAAUGCUGCUCUCCCCUGCGCUGCCGGAGGAGGAGGGGGGGGGAGCGACCCGGGAUGCUGUUAUCCCUGGAUGAAGAGACCAAUUUACAGUUUCACUCUGCAGAGAAGAGGCAGCUGUCCAAGCGCUCCGGGGACCUGCAGUGGAGAGUGUUGCAUGGUAUUGUCGCCACGAACCGCUGGCUGAACCGAGUUGACCCAGAUUGUGGAAAUGUAAUGAGCUUAUACUGUAGGUUCCCAGCCUCUCUGUAAGGCCAUUCCACCAGGAUGUUCUUGCUGUCUGAAACUGAAAAACGCAGCUAGUCUGCCUUGCAUGCGUGGGAGUUGUUGUUCACAUUGUUCAACAGAAAACCAGAUGGCACCUGAGUCUUGGAAAAGCUGAGAGACAGCAAGUCAGUCACUGGCAGUAAACCCUUCAUUAAUAGAUCUGGAACAAGUGCAUCAUUGGACACCGCCCCAGCCAAUCAAGAUGCAGCAUCCGAGGUUAGUAUCGGCCAUUAAAGGCCUGCAAGUGAAAACAACAAGCCUCAUCACUUGGAUUGAAUUCCAGUGCCUUUGUCUGACACAUCUGUCGCCUUCAUGUUUUUUGAACUCAAAAGCAAAGAUUGCAAGUUGGAUUAUGAAGGGUCCUAAACAGAAGAAAAAUGUAUUCAACAAAAUAAUGUCCUAGGUUAUCUUUAGCAGCACUCUGUUUAUUGGUAUGAAACAAGGCUUCAUGUUGCACAGACAGACGCUACAGCAAGCGGACAGAUGAUUCCCUUCCCAGCAGGUUAACACCGCCAUCAGGGGACUGCUUUCAUCCAGUACCAGUAACAGUGUGAAAAAGCAAGCCAAUGCUGAAAAUCUGCCAUGCACACUAACCACAUGAAUGACAAAGCUUCUGUGAGUCACAUUCACAUGUUACACUUUAGAAAUUUCAUGCACUGUUUCCAGGAGACCCCCUACCAUAUCCAUGCCCAGGGUUCAAGGACCUCAUCUGCUCCGUGGGAUUCAACGGUCUGCUCCCAAACCUUCAUCUUCCAAGUUGCCUAUCACAAAGGAAGUCCUGGAAUCCAUGAGCAACACCCUACAUUCAGGCUGCUUUUCACCACACAAAGAUGUCCUUCUGGAAGCAAUGUUCAUCUCGGACUUCUGCAGGUUUCUACGAUGUGGCGAAAUUACCUGCCGGAACCAGUCAUUCGAUCCAUCCUCAGACCUCUGAUAGGAGAUCUCCAUCGUCAAUCUCAGGUCAUGUACUCUUUACAUUUAAAACAUUUGAAAUCAGACUGGGAAAAGAAAGGCGUAUAUAUGUUCAUUUAUCAAAAACUCAUCGUAUUAUUUGGCCUCUCUUUUCAGCUAUCUGUCAAUGCGUCCGACGGCCAGCAACCAGGAUCCCGUUUCUCACAUUUCUCACGGAAGGGAAAGUUGUGUCCAGGAACUGGUUCUGUGACCAUCUUCAUCUGUGUCUUCUUCCUGCUGACAACUACUUCAGACAUUCGUUCAGGAUCGGCGCUGCAACUUCUGCCACUUCCAGGAACAUCGCUCCACACCAAUCAAGGCUAUGGGGAGAUGGACUUCAGAACCCGGAGGAAGGGUAACCCUCGGCCAUGGAUUCCCUAAGGUUUCCCCCUAUCUCCUUGCAAGCGAGAGACGGGAUAAUCAUGCCCUAAAUCGGGAGUCUGCUUGGCAGGUAUGUAUCUGUUCUCAAAACACCCCAUCCUAAGCACAAACACCGAAAUAAAUGCUGGAGAAAAAACAAUUGUACCCCAUUGGAAAUACAUAAAAAAUAUGAAUACCCACAAAAAUAUAGCUGUUGGGACGAAGCAAGUCAUUAGUAGGCAUCCCUAUCGGUAUGGUGUGUGGUUAUAUCAUUGUUGAAACACUGCUAAAACAUGAAGGGGUUUAUUUUUCUGCGCAUGCGCCAGAGUACGCGACGGUGCUGAGGAAAUGCAAUUUUUCAUAAUAAUGACGUACUUUGCCAAUGUUGCCGUUUUCUUCAAGAGAGCGUGGCAGAAUUUAAAUUUGAAAAUCUGCCAAAAUCAGCGAAAUAUGACACAGCUCCAUUGCCACAAUAGAGUUUUGUCUCCUGAGCUCAUCUCUCUUGGCACGCAGUGUGAUUGAAGUACAGGCGGAUUUGAGUAGCUUGUUACAACCUCCGUGUCUCAGCGGAGAACUACCCACACCAUUAAGCAAUCUUAACUUACACUUGCAUGUAAAAAGACAAUUGUCUGACCAGCGUUAUCAUCGCCUCCUUCAGAAGUAACCGCACAUUUGAUAGGCUAAACAUUCAGUCAUGAGAUCCUGCUGUUUAUUCCUCCUGCUUCUGUUGUGUGCAGCACCAUUAGAUGGCACCGAGUUAAACCUACAUGUACUGGAAGAAAUUGUGGGCACCAUCACUCCUGCAUCUGUACCCACUUAACCACUUUGACACACUCCUCUAAUCAGUGUGGCAGCAGGGUGGAGUAGUGGUCAGAGCUCUGGACUCUGGACUCUGGACCGGAGGGUCGUGGGUUCAAUCCCAGGUGGGGGACACUGCUGCUGUACCCUUGAGCAAGGUUUGCCACUGCAGCAGGACUAAGACCUAGUGAUCUUGAGUUGAAGCAGUUUGGAUUCCUGAUGGCUUUAACGCCACAGCAGUGUACCGGUGACAGUAGAGUGCGGUACAGGCCUUUCAAUCAGAACACUGGUGUUCGUGUAACAGGAAGCCCUAACUUUUUUACAAAUGUUCCAGAUUUAAACUAUAUGGCUGUCUAUCCUUACAUAGGAAACGUGUGCUCCGAGAAGAAGAUUUUUUUCUCACGGGAUCAAAACUAGCCUAGCCCUGCUCAAAAUUUUGCAAAUAACGCAGACAAAAUCCUGAGGGCUGGUGGGUGCGUGUUGUUUUUCACCACAAACACCCCCUGCCUGGAGAAGUGUUUCAGUGGCAAGCAGGACUGUGACAUUGUCAGCCCAUUACUCGCACAGCCAUUCUCUAACUGGGGCAAUUCCAAUAUCAAUAGGCCCAUUCACAAGUAUUUCAUUUACACCAAGGUGUUUGGAAGAGAUAGUAUGAAUCUUGUUAGUAUUAAAGAGGGCUUCACAAGGCUUGAUAACAGCAAUAGUGUAAAUUGCAUUCCUUGUGAUGCCAAUAAUAAUUUCUGCUUGUAAGUUUAAGCCAAUGCUUCAAAUUGCAAUUUACCAAACAAGUAAUAAUGAUUCCUUACAUCAUUACCAGUCUUUAUUCUAUAAUAGCAUGCAAUACCUUUCUAGAAAACAGUCCUGUUUGUAAUAACUCAAGGGCCUCUAAGCUUUAUUUUGUCAUUUUCCACUUGUACUUUCUUCACUGUAAUUGUGA